UACGUAGGGAGCAAGCGUUGUCCGGAAUCAUUGGGCGUAAAGCGCGCGUAGGUGGCUUCAUAAGUCCGUUGUGAAAGUCAAAGGCUCAACCUUUGAAAGCCGAUGGAUACUGCCGGGCUAGAGUCCGGAAGAGGCGAGUGGAAUUCCUGGUGUAGCGGUGGAAUGCGCAGAUAUCAGGAGGAACACCAACGGCGAAGGCAGCUCGCUAGGACGGUACUGACGCUAAGGCGCGAAAGCGUGGGGAGCGAACAGG
RNAcentral lists this ribosomal RNA (253 nucleotides) under uncultured bacterium. Its description in RNAcentral is "partial 16S ribosomal RNA". It matches the Rfam family "Bacterial small subunit ribosomal RNA", at positions 524 to 776 of the family's 1533-position model. The record is from RNAcentral.